GGGAGGGGGACACAGCGGGGGCUUCCUGAGAGGAGUGGACUUGUGACCCAGAGCGCGGGAGCACCCAGGCCCAGGGACCCCCAGCCUCAGCCCUCAAUGCGGGGCUCCGGGACGCAGAGCUUCAGAGCAGAGGCACAAGAGCCCAUAAGGAAGCGGGUCUGCACAGCCCCAAGCAGUUCUUGAUCCUCCUGACAAGAAUGAGCCCGACCUGGUGAUCCCACUACGUCCAGAAGCCAACACACUGUGACAAUGGGGAGUUUGAGCCAUCCUUGAGAGGAGUCAGAGUAUUGCUUUAGAAAACCAGCUGUGACCUUCAAGUUGAAGGAAGGAGAAGAUCCAUGGUUAUUAGAGGAAGAAUUUCUAAACAGCUGCUCCCCAGAUACUGCAGUGCAUCGACUGUGCACCAAGUCUAGUGUGAGGAGGGCAGCUUCCUCCCAGUGAGGCGUGCCAGAUAAAGCCUUUGCCUGUCAGUGGGCCUGGAAGACCACAGAAGACUACCAACCUGAUAAAUUAUUAAAGAAGAGCCAAGAAAACCAAGGGAAACAUUUGUAGCAAUCAUCAAAGACAAAAUACUGACCACUGAGAAGAGAAAGUUUCAGAAAAACCACGUAAACUGGGCAUAGAUGCUUAUUUCAAGAAAAAUGCUUCGUAAAUUGUGAUACUGCAGUGUGUACAUACCUGGGUUUCAUCACGUUGGCCCCAUACUGUAGAGAAAUGGCUGGUCAACAUUAGGGAUGAGAGAACUUACAAUCAAGAGAAAUCUCCUAAAUAUAAUAAAAGCAUGAAAGAUCUCAAUUACAAGAAGGAAGUUAUUCAGCAUCAAACUAUCUAGACUUUGAGGCAAGCUCUUGAAUAUAAUAAACAUGGAAAAGCUUUCCAUGACAAGACUGCUCUUACUAUACCUUAGAGUGCCCACACAAAGCUGAGAUCCUGUAAUUAUAAAUUUGGCAAAAAUGUGAUAAAUCAAUCCUCAUUAUCUCUCAGACCAUUCACACAGAAAAGAGCCACUGAAUCUAAUGAAAAUUAAUAUAAUCAAAAUGGGGAUAAUUUCAGUAAGAUAACUCAAGUUCAGAGAACUGACACAAGAGGGAAACUUUCCAGCAGAAAAUUCUGACUUCAGAGAACAUGUGAGAACUCAUAGGAGUGAAGUCCCUGAACGUGGAAAAACCAGCCAUUACAUCAGAGAACUCACACAGCAGAGAAAUACUGUGAUUACAACAGAUGUAGGGAAAUCUUCAGUUCCCAACCAGCCUUCAAUAUAAAUCAGAGAUCUCAUGAAAAGUGAAGCCCUGUGAGUGAAAUGAGUGGAGAAAAUCCUUCUCUAGGAAAUCACACCUCAUUGCACAUAAGAAAACACAGAGGAAAAAUACUAUGGUUGUAGUGAUCAUGGGAAAGCUUUCAGUGAAAAGUCAGCUCAAAGGGCAUCAGAGAACUCACAUAGAGAAGAAACCCUUUGAAUGCAAUGAAUGUGGGAGAGCUUUCAACUAUACCUCUGACAUAAGACAAUAUCAGAGAACUCACAUGGGGGACAGAUCCUAUAAAUGUGAUCAAUAUGACAAGUCUUUUAGCUGUAAGUUAACACUCACACUACAUGAGAGAACUCAGGAGAGAAACCCUUUGAAUAUAAUGAAUGUGGUAAAACUGUCAGCAAGGAAUCAGAACUAAGGAAAUAUCAGAGAACUCACACAGAAGGGAAACCCUAUAAAUGAUAAAUGUGGGAAAACUAAUCUGUAAGUCAGCCCCUACAGCACAUCACAGAAUGCACACAGGCGAGAAACCCUAUGAAUGUAAUGAACGUGAGACGACUUCCCCCUGGGAAUUGGACCUCAGAACACAUCAGAGAACGUGCACAAGGGAGAAACCCCGUGAAUGUAAUGCAUUUGGGGAAGCUUUCAGCCAGAAGUCACAGCUCAGAGUUUACCAGAGAAUUCACACAGGAGACUUUGCGUAUGUGAAUGUGAGCAGUUCUUUUCAAGAAAUCAGCUCUCACUAACCAUCAGGCAACAUACAGGAGAGAAGUGUAUGAAUAUAAUAAAUAUAUGAUAACACUCCUCUGGAAAUCUGACCUCACAGUUUUUCAGCCAGAGUUUAGGCCUCAUUAGAAAUCAGAGAAUUAGUCCAGGAAAGAAACUUGAUGAAGGUACUGUGGAUUUGCAUAUUCUAGACACUUCAUAUAAACAUAGUAAAUGUCAUUUAUGUUUCCUUCUCACUGCCUGGUAGAUUUUUCUUACGUCUCUGACCUUUUGUUCCAGCGAGUGAUAUUUUCAUCUGGAGAUCCAGAGGGAGUUAGGUUUCUGUGUGUCUGCGUACUAAGGGUCUUCACACCACUGCAGGCGGAAGAGAAUCCUGUGGAUAGAGGGUCUUCAUACUGUGGCCGGCAGUGACAGGCUUGACCAGGAGAUUCUUGGGUGUUAGCCCUCGCCUGGGUCUCCUUUCAUUGCUGGGUGACUGAUGGUUUGACGGAAUGAUAUUAGAUCUCAGCUGCCUACAUAACUCUACAAAUAAUUAAACUUAAGUAUUCUACUAAACAGA
Molecule: long non-coding RNA, 2532 nt
Organism: Equus caballus (horse)
Lineage: Eukaryota; Metazoa; Chordata; Mammalia; Perissodactyla; Equidae
Source: RefSeq, a predicted model, not a curated record